UCUUUCGCUCCGCUGUUUGCUUCGUCGGACAAAUAUGAAUCCGGAUGCGGCUGGCCGAGCUUCACCAAACCGAUCGAGCCGGCGAACGUCAACGAAGUGACUGACACGAGCCAUGGCAUGGUCCGCACGGAAGUGCGCUCGGUGCACGGCGACAGCCAUCUUGGGCACGUCUUCGACGAUGGC
RNAcentral lists this unclassified non-coding RNA (183 nucleotides) under plant metagenome. RNAcentral describes it as "partial contains 5.8S ribosomal RNA, internal transcribed spacer 2, and large subunit ribosomal RNA". The record is from RNAcentral.